CCUACGGGAGGCAGCAGUGAGGAAUAUUGGUCAAUGGACGAAAGGCGGAACCAGCCAAGGAGCGUGAGGGAAGACAGCCCGAUGGGGGGUAAACCUCUUUUAUGCGGGGAUAAAGGUGGCCACGUGUGGAUGUUUGCAGGUACCGCAUGAAUAAGGACCGGCUAAUGCCGUGCCAGCAGCCGCGGUAAUACGGAAGGUCCGGGCGUUAGCCGGAUUUAUUGGGUUUAAAGGGAGCGUAGGCCGGUCUUUAAGCGUGCCGUGAAAUUUUGUGGCGCCACCAUGAGAGUGCGGCGCGUACUGGCGACCUUGAGUGCGCGGCAGGCCGGCGGAAUUUGUUGUGUAGCGGUGAUAUGCUUAGAUAUCACGAAGAACCCCGAUUGCGAAGGCAGCCUGCCGCAGCGUUACUGACGCUGAGGCUCGAAAGCGCGGGUAUCGAACAGGAUUAGCUACCCCAGUAGUC
This 460-nucleotide ribosomal RNA is filed under the name uncultured bacterium. Its description in RNAcentral is "partial 16S ribosomal RNA". It matches the Rfam family "Bacterial small subunit ribosomal RNA", at positions 338 to 795 of the family's 1533-position model. The record is from RNAcentral.